RNAcentral lists this ribosomal RNA (303 nucleotides) under uncultured bacterium. Its description in RNAcentral is "bacterial SSU rRNA". It matches the Rfam family "Bacterial small subunit ribosomal RNA", at positions 355 to 675 of the family's 1533-position model. The record is from RNAcentral.
UGGGGAAUAUUGCACAAUGGGGGAAACCCUGAUGCAGCGACGCCGCGUGAGCGAUGAAGUAUUUCGGUAUGUAAAGCUCUAUCAGCAGGGAAGAAAAUGACGGUACCUGACUAAGAAGCCCCGGCUAACUACGUGCCAGCAGCCGCGGUAAUACGUAGGGGGCAAGCGUUAUCCGGAUUUACUGGGUGUAAAGGGAGCGUAGACGGCUGUGCAAGCCAGAUGUGAAAGCCCGGGGCUCAACCCCGGGACUGCAUUUGGAACUGUGUAGCUGGAGUGUCGGAGAGGCAGGCGGAAUUCCUAGUG